UCCUUAUUGUUUCCAACUACCACCACCACCUCUCUCUACUACUCAACUCACCUCACUACUAACCCACAAUGACUGCCUGCAAGUCAGUGGGUUUUAAGGGAAGAGCAAGAGAUGUCACAAAGGAGGGCAGGUUCUUGUCACCAUGGCAACCCCUCCACCUGGACCUGGCCCCUCCUGAGAGUGAUGCUUCUCUGUCAGAACUUGGAGGCACCUUCUGUUCCGCCUGCAGCUGGGCUGCAUCUUCUCUCCGCAGAUUCAUGUCAGCAUUUCACAUCCUUCUUCCUGCAGCCUCAUUUCCAAAGGGAGACCAUCCCCAUAUCUUUCAAGGCAGGCUAGGGGUCUCCAUAGCUCAGGAUUGGACCAUCUGCUUUGCAUACAGGUCUUCUGUCCUGGGCGGCAUCUCCGGGGGGGUGGGAAUGUCCCCCCGCAUUCGAAACCCUGGAUAGCUGCUGCCACUCAGUGCAGGCUAGUUCAAGAAGGAUAUUGAGCAGCUGGAAGGUGAGCAGAGGAGGGCGAUCAGGAUGAUGAAGGGUCUGGAAACCAAGCCUGAUGAGGAACAGUUGAGGCAGCUGGGUAUGUUUAGCCUGGAGAAGAGGAGAGAGGAAAGCCAUCUUCCAAUAUCUGAGGGCUGCAAGAGGGAGCAAGCUUGUUUUCUGCUGCUCCAGAGGGGAGGGCAGGAGAGGAGAUACAGACUAAACAUUAGAAAGAACUUUCUGAUGGUAAGACUCUCUGGGAUUGUGGUGGACUCUCCUUCCUUGGAGGAUAUUGAGCAGCUAUUAAAAGAAUUAUGAUUCUUUUAAUAAUAAUAAUAAUUUCAGUGAGCUGGGUGACAAGAAAUUUUCUGCACCGGGUACCACCUGACCAUGCUACACCACUGCAGCCAGCCUAAACUUACACCAGAUCUAAAUCCCAUUCAGCAGUGGGGUUACUGCUGCCAUGACUAAGCCUGGCAGAGGAAAAAUAUUCCUUCAAAAUAGUGUUUUAUGUCAGGUUUCUUUUUCUUUUUCUUUCUUUUUUUUUGCAUAUAUUUUUACUGGGUUUUCUGUUUUACAAUUUAAAGUACUCAUUUUUACAUCCUUAAGAUAUCUAUGACUUCCCUUCUUCUCUUUCCAUGGUUCAUUUUGCAUAUUCAUAAAUCCCUGCAUAUUUUACAAAAACUAAACCAUUCGGUAUUCCAUUAUUGCUAUUGAAUUUAUCUUAAUGCUGCCAGUGUUUUCAGCUGUAAACAAUUAUUACCCAUAUAUUCAAUUAACAUUUUCAAAUCUUCUCUAAACGUAUGUUCUUCUGGUUCUCUUGUUCUAUAUGUUAAGUCUGUGAGUUGUGCAGAUUCUGUCAACUUAAGCUGACAUUCUUCUUUGGUUGGGACCUCAUUCGUUUUCCUUUUUGGGGCUAACAAUACAUGGGCCGCAGUAGUGGCAUACAUAAAUAACCUUUUUUGACACCUGGGAAUUUCCGUAUGAAUUAUCCCCAACAGAAAGGACUCUGGGUUUUUGGGGGGAAAUACUUUUAAAGCUUUUUUUCCAAUUCAUUAUGGACCAUUUCCCAAUACUCUUUUACCCUUUUACAAGUCCAAUGUUUCAUGUCAGGUUUCCAGGUCAUGUGGCUGACAUGAAAGGGCUUAGCAUCCAGCCUAUGUCUCCAACAUAUAUUUAAAGGACUUUUAAAUCACCCUUCCUCAAGAAUCUUGUGAACUAUAGUUUACCCCACACAGAGCUACAAUUCCCACCACCUUUAACAAAUUACAGUUCCCAAGGUUUUGGGGCUGAGGUUGCUUUUAAUGUAUGGUGUGUACACAGCCUUGAACACAUGAAGUUAUUAAAACAGGUAGCCCGUUCCAUUGAACCACUUACCCUAUAAAUAUAUCCGUUUCCUCAAUCUCCAGUGCCAUAAUUAGCCACUUCAAACUUGCUGGAACAGUCAUUGUUUUCUAAUGCCUGGCUCAGGUGAUUUUAGCAGCAAUUAGCUUUUUCUGAAGUAAUAAUCCCAUAGUUACCUGUCCUUGUUCAAAGAUGUUCGGUAACACUGUUAAACGCUCGCGCUUUAUACUUAACUAUUAUAUGGGUGGGUGGGGGAAAACCUCAGUGAUUUGAUUCCAAUAUAUCCGAGCACGAAAAGAUUUGCCGUAUAUGUGUGGGAAGUCUGCAUAAUCAUCGUGGCAUUUCCAACAGUUAAUUGUAUUUGAUUUUCAAGGACCUUUUUAAUCUGUAAGUCAUAUGCCACUGGAAGGUCAAAUUACAUCUUUACAUAGUGAAAACUGUACAAUUAUAAUAUGAAUCUUUCCCCCAGGUAGUCCUUAUGAGGUAUCUAAACCCUAUAUUCAUAAUAUUGUGCAUUGCUUCUUUUCUGGUUUAGUCAUCAUCAGUUAAUUUGUAUGCUGCUUUUUCUAUGGUAAACCACGUUCCAAGCAUUUCUCAAUGUCAGAACAGAAUACAUAUUAUUGCAACAUUUGAAGAUAAUUCCAUACCCUCCAACAUUUCUCCGAUGAAAAUAGGGACACCCUAUUCCAUAAUAAGCAUUUUACUGUUUAUACCGUGCCCAUCUUAUUGGGUUGCCCCAGCCACUCUGGGUGGCUUCCAACAUAUAUAAAAACAUAAUAAAACAUCAAACAAUUAAAAAGUUCCCUAUACAGGGCUGCCUUCAGAUGUCUUGGGGGGUUGAAUAAUUCCAUGCUCUCCAACAUUUCUCUGAUGAAAAUAGGAACAUCCUACCAUACCUUCCAAGAUUUCUCCGACAAAAAUAGGGAAGUCCUAAGGAAAAGCAGGACAUUCUGGGAUCAAAUCAGAAAUUGGGCCAUCUUCUGUAAAUCCGGGACUUUCCCUGGAAAACAGGGACACUUGGCGGGAUUGCAAUUCAUUAACAGUUACAAUUAUCUGUAAAAAUCAAACGUUUAAUAAGUUUUUACUUUUUUUCACACUAGGAUAAAACAAUCAUAGUAAAGCCAAAUGACAGAAAUACAAAAACAAAUUCCAAGUUACAGUAAGCAACAACUAUAACUGGAAAUAUAUGUUGUUGGCAACAACAACCCCUCUUGAGAUGGGACAGACAGGGCAUCUGUUAGCCAAGUCUUACAACAAAUUACCUCAAUGCAUCUUCAUCUCAUAGUGCAAAUUGUCCUCUCUUCCUAAUUUCCUCCCCAUUGAUAACAGGAUAAUCCAAACCCAAGCCAGGCACUGCUACUAACAUUGUCCUGAGUGCCAGGCAAAUUGAUGUGUGCUGGCACUGCAUCAGUGAUGCUGUCCAGUGAUGGCAGUGGGGAGAGCUUGGGAUCCACUGGAUCCUGAGCUGGCUCUGACCCUCCCCAUGUUGGGGUUUUCCAUGUGUUGCCACCAGUGGUGUUUCUGCUCACAGAAUGUGGAGAUCUGAGCUGGUGGAGUGAUGCCAGUGUCACUCUCUCUAGGGCUAGUCAAUUCUUUAAAAAUGUAGUAUAAACACCGACAACUGGGAAACACUGGCCUGUGAGUGCUCCAGUUGGAGAACAGCCUUUACCAAAGGUGGCAUGGGCUUUGAAGCCGCUCGAACUCAGGACAAAGGGAGAAAUGUGCUGAGAGGAAGUCAUGCUUGGCAAACCCUCACCGUGAUCAACUCCCACCCAGAAACCUGUGGAAGGACGUGUGGCUCCAGAAUUGGCCUCCACAGUCACAGACUCACUGUUAAGACCAUGUUCAUGGAAGACAAUCUUACUCAGCUACGAGUGAUCGCUGAAGAAGAAGAAGAAGAAGAAGAAGAAGAAGAGUAGAGCCCAGUGGAGGGACAUCUUUACCCAUUGCAGCCCCUUUAUUUUUGUCCACCCACAGUAGUGCUUCAACAGCUAUUGAGAUUGAUGUCCAUUCCAACCAACAGCGUACAUAGUCUAGACCAGGUUUUCCCCAACUUGAGUCUCCAGCUGUUUUUGGACUACAACUCCCAUCAUCCCUAGCUUCCAGGACCAGUGGUUAGCAGGAUGGGAAUUGUAGUCCAAAAACAGCUAGAGGAGACCCAAGUUUGAGAAACCCUGGUCCAGACCCUUAAAACUAAAAAUUUGGUACCAUUAUGCUUCCCCCACAGAAGCCCCCUUCCCCGCUUUCCCCUCAGUCCUCCAGGGCAGCUUUACCAGGGGUGCAUUAUGCUGACUGGGGAAGGAGAAAAUGGUGAAAAAUGUCAUCCCCUCUACCCAUCACAGGAGAGUCUCACAAGCAGGACUCCACUCAUGACUCAUCUAGCUCUAAUCCUUUAACUUUUGUAAAGCAGCCUCCGUUAUUUGUUCCCUUUACAAAUUGCAAACUUGGCUGAGAAAAUGCUGCACAAGGUAGUGUCCCAGAGAGCAAAGUCUCAAACGGCUAUUAUCAAGGUACAAGCGUGCUUGAUAACACAAUCAAGGAUCUCCAUAAUUCAUGCCAAUCUUUUUUAUUCAGGGAGAUAUAAUGAUACGUAUGCGGUGUGGAGAUAAAUGGCAGAAAAUUGUCUCCUUAAAGCUCCAUGUGUAUUUAAAAGAGAUCAAUUAUUGUGCUAAUAAGCCAGCUCAGCAUUACUGCGUCUUCUUUUGAAUGAUAUUCUUAUACUCCUGCUCUUUCUGAUCAUAUUGUUAAGCUCUUUCCCUUUUUGUGUGUGUUCCCUUUUCGGCUCUUUUAAUGACCAAGUGUUUUAUGAAUGCUUUUAGUUCUAAAGCCAGCACCAAGCAGAUGCAAACUGAUGUGUGGAAUUAGUGCUGCCUAGUAAAGUAUUGCAAUUCCAGAGAAUGUAAGCAGCAAAAUUUCUUACAGUGAACGCUUCAAGCGUUGAAGCAACUCGUCCAAAAACUGUAUAAUUGUCCUGGGAAAAUUGGUUAGGGCAGUGGUUCCCAAACUUCCCCACCAACAACUUCCAAAUUGUGGAGGAUUUUGAACCAGCUAAUGUCCCUCCCCACCCCCUGCCUGUUGUAGCAACUGUGCUGUGCUGUGAUAAAUGCUGGAUGAUUUUUAAUUGUAUUUUAUUGCUUUUUCUAUUGUGUUUUAGGUAAAGGUAAAGGGACCGCUGACCAUUAGGUCCAGUAAUGACCGACUCUGGGGUUGCAGCGCUCAUCUCGCUUUAUUGGCCGAGGGAGCCGGCAUACAGCUUCCGGGUCAUGUGGCCAGCAUGACUAAGCCGCUUCUGGCGCCACUGCAUUGCAAUUUGCAUUCGCGUUGUAAUGCAAUUAAAUACAAUAUAAGAAAUAAAAGAAGCAAUGAAACAUACAUUUAAAAAUCAAUAUGAAUAUUAAAAGUGAAGAGGCCACAGGCCGCCUGAAUGAAGCUCACAGACCAUAGUUUGGGAACCCCUGGUUCAGGGAAAUAUAAGGCAGAAGCAGCUUUUGCUUAUAAAAUGAGGAAAUGCAAGAUCUGCUGGGAUAAGCAGCUGAGGAUGCAGUGGAUCUCCAUCUCAGCUGGCUGAUUCCCAGUCAGAGGUGCCACCAUGAGGCGAAGAUGUCGUGCUCGGCUCGGCGGUACAACCUCCUUUGCCCUCUCAAUAUUUGGGGGGCAGAGCCCCCUGCUAAAGAAUAUUGAGGGGGCUGAAGAUACCCAGAGGCAUAGCAAGGGGUGUGUGGUAGGUGCAGGCCGCCCCGGGUGUCCCCACUGAGGGGGGUGACAAAAUGGUGGGCGGCACUCACGCUGGGCCUGCAGCGCGCCCGAGCCAUGCGUCUCUCCUGGAAGUGAUGCGGUGGCUUGAGUGCCCAUAGGCUCUGCGUUGCCCAAACAGUCCACCCGUUGCCUCCCCCUCAGGCUGAGUGGGAGGAGGCAGGCAGACUCCUUGGAGGACCUGUGGUGCCCCAGUGGGUGGCUGGCCCCACCCCAUGGGGGGCUGGCCCCACCCCUGGGUGCAGGGCACGCACGCCACCCCAGGCGCCUGAUCGGCUUGCUCCGCCGCUGAUGACAGCUCUGCCCCCUAGCGUUGGCACACCUGUUCCCAGUUCGGUUUGAAAUGUCCUAUUCAAGCAUAAAGCCUUGUUUUCAGUGAGAGAAAUAAGCGGAUAAAGAACAAGAUGAAGAUGAAAGGGAAGCAAGAGUUGGAAAGGAAAGAAUGGGGAAGUGUUGAUUCUUGUGUUUGUCAAGGGAGCAGUCAGACUACCAGGCAACGGUUACAAUUUUUGGAUAUUAUGACUGCAGUCAAAGUGCUCCAAAAAGGCAUGCCAUGUGGCAUUAAAUGAGUGCAGGGUGUCCUUUUGUAUAUAUGUCACGCACUAUCGAGAUGCAAUUCUUGGAGUUCUGCUACCCAUUCAUCAAUAUCAGGUGGAGAGUGGGAUUUCUAGGCACAUAAAACCAGUUGCUUAGCAACCAAGGCCACACAUUGAAUCCAAGCCACAUGCAUCUUAUUUAGAACCUAUCGGACCAAAAAGUAACCAAGCACCAAGUGAGCAAGUGAAAAUUUAUAGGUUGUGAUUCUUUACUUGACAUCCUUCCAAAAUUAUCUUAGCGUUCCAUUUGUGUAAGAGUAGCCUUUAGCUUUCCAACUCUCCAGGAAGCAAACCUAUCAAAAUUGUUUCGUUUUACUUGUACAGAAUGGAACCAGUGAAUUCUCAGGAAUACCUUUUGCUAUACUAGUAAGUCUGAAAUCAAGCAUGAAGUAAACAAUAGCGUUAAGGGCCUCUUUCCACUUUACGGGGUGGGGGUUGCCUCAAUUCUGGAAUCUGUGAAAGACAUUUGAGACCCAAAUCAUAGACAAUAAUUUCCACUUAGUGGUAAUACAGUUUUCUUGUUGCUGUUGUUUUGGGGGUGGGAAAUGAUCACACUUAUUUGAAUUUAACCAGUUCGGACAUUUCAGAAAUUAUACACGCAUCAGGUGCAAAGUGACUGUACGGCCAACAGUUACUAUUAGCAACAUGAAGUUGGCUUUUUUGUAAGUCCAGGAAAUAAACUAACAACCCUUGUGAAUUCAAUAAUUGCAAGAGUUUGAAAAUGCCUCAACUGAGCCAAGGUUGCUAUGGAGGAAGACAAAUUUCAUUAUUGCUUUUAGUGCCUGGUUAACACAGUGAUUUCUAGUGAGUGUGAGUGUUAACAUUUUAUUGCUCAACCAGUAUUAUCCAUUACCCCAUGGGGAACCAGUGGCUCUUCAGAAGUUGUUGGACUAAAAUUCCCAUCAUCCCUGAUCGUUGGCCAUGAUGGUUGAGACUGUCUUAAACCAAGGUGGGUGCUGUUGCCCAGCUAAACUUAAAAGUCCACAGGUACUGCAUGCUUGAGUUAACCUUUCCUACUGCAAUGUAUUUUCUCACCUAAAACACUUAUAAAACUUACAGCAGUUUUAUAAAUACAGCAGAAUAUAAAUUUUAUGUAUUGAGUUGAAUAGGAUCCAAAAGGCAGCAGUCUGAUUGGUCCUUGAACAAUAGGGUCCAGAAUGCAGCAGUCUGGUUGGUCCUAGAACAAUGCAGCAGUACUGUAUGAUUGGUCCACAGGAGCCACCCAAUCCAUCUUCAGGUGGAAGUGAAUCCGCAACCUGAUUGGCCUACAGGAGAAUCCCAGAAUUAGCCAAUCACGUGCGGCUCAUUGUGUAAAUAAUGUAUAUAAAGCAGAUAUUUUAGGGGAACUUUCAUUCCUCACUACUAUGAGCUGAAUAAAGAGCAUGAAAUACACACUCGACUUCGAGUAUAUUUCAAUAAAUAUUCAGCAUGGAUGCCUCAGACAAGUUGACGAGCAAAUGGGAGAUUGGAGGUCAAGGGGGUAAAGUUUAUCGAAAGAAGAUUUCAGAGAAUACAGUGAAAUGGGAAGUGGGAAGUCUGAGUGGUGGUAGAUCAUGAGUUUUGACGGGAUAAGAGAAAACUGACUGUGACAGACAGGAAAUGUUUUGCCUUACUUGGAGAUCCUGGGAGAUUAAACUGGGACUUUAUGUGGGGAAAGCAAAUGGUCUACCACUGAGUUACAGUCAUUUCCUAAGUAACGAGAGAGAAAGAGAGUAAUUAGAGGAAGACCAGAAGGAGGCAUCUGAUGGGCUUCUCAUGCUGAUGCAGGAAUGCUUCCAGUUCACAAGCUCAGUGAUGGUCUUGUGUUCUGUGUUAUUCACCCAGGAACAAUUGACAUGUAUGGACAACCUUUGUAAUGCAAAUAAUGAGAGUUAUUUCAUGCAUCUUUAUUCUGUACCCACCUGUGUAGGAAGAAUUAGCACCAUCAAACAAGAAGCAUAGAUCCUCCAUGUACAGUGGUACCUCGGGUUAAGUACUUAAUUCGUUCUGGAGGUCCAUUCUUAACCUGAAACUGUUCUUAACCUGAAGCACCACUUUAGCUAAUGGGGCCUCCCGCUGCUGCCACUGCACGAUUUCUGUUCUCAUCCUGAAGCAAAGUUCUUAACCUGAAGCACUAUUUCUGGGUUAGUAGAGUCUGUAACCUGAAGCGUAUGUAACCUGAAGCGUAUGUAACCCGAGGUACCACUGAUUGAGCAAAAUAAACAUGCAUCUUAAAUAGAGAUUGUAAAUAGAGAUUUUCCUUGUAAGGGAAAAUAUGACAUAUAGAAUGGCCACCCAGUGAAGUUUCUUGCUACAAUUCUUACAGAUAUGUUUAUGAGUGAAGAUGGCCUAUGAGAAGUGAGAAGACAAAAAAAUAUUUCCAAUAUGGUCAAGAAACAGAUGAACACUUAAUAUUUUAAAUAAGGAAGGAAGGAAGGAAGGAAGGAAGGAAGGAAGGAAGGAAGGAAGAAUUUUGAAAGCCCUGUUGCUUCCAAAUACAGCGGUACCUCGGGUUAAGAAUUUAAUUCGUUCUGGAGGUCCAUUCUUAACCUGAAACUGUUCUUAACCUGAAGCACCACUUUAGCUAAUGGGGCCUCCCGCUGCUGCCACCCCGCCACCACACGAUUUCUGUUCUCAUCCUGAAGCAAAGUUCUUAACCCGAGAUACUAUUUCUGGGUUAGCGGAGUCUGUAACCUGAAGUGUCUGUAACCUGAAGCGUCUGUAACCCGAGGCACCACUGUAAUGUGUUCGGAAGGCAGGUGGAAAGAAGUUAAACUUCGGUCACCUCCAAAUGACCUGUUUAUUGAUCCUGAUCCGUUUGCACAAAUUUCUCAGGGAGGUUAGACGAUGCUUAUUAUUGAACACUUGCUUGGAUUUGGCUGCAAUGAGGUUAUAUGAUGAUACAUCAAGCAAGUAUCAUUUCCUUUUCAUAUCACUUUCAUUAUUUAAAUGGGCUACAGUGUUAGACCAGGGCUGGAUCUAUAUGGAUAUAAAAAAACACUACAGGAAAAAAAGCUAUAAAAGCUCUCAAAGCAAAAUUGUGUCGCUGGCAGCUCCUCCUACUGCUGCAGAGGGGAAGGAUGAGGGAAGCAUCCCCCAGACAGUGGAUGCAGUAGUAGGAGGAGGAGGCUGAGUGCCAGAGAGAAAGAGCCACCAGCCAUUGAAGCUGGGCUGCUGCGACAUUCAACUCCACCCAUGGCUCCUCCCUGUGUCACAAGGAUGCCAUGUGUGUGUCAUGCCCUCCCGCACGGCAAUCUUCUGCUCAAGUUGCUGUCUCUGACUGUGGGCCAGCUGCCAUAUCUCAGACUAAUUGUUGUUGUUUAGUCGUUUAGCCGUGUCUGACUCUUCGUGACCCCAUGAACUAGAGCACGCCAGGCACUUCUGUCUUCCACUGCCUCCCGCAGUUUAGUCAAACUCAUGUUGGUAGCUUCGAGAACACUAUCCAACCAUCUCAUCCUCUGCCAUCCCUUUCUCAUUGUGCCCUCAAUCUUUCCCAACAUCAGGGUCUUUUCCAAGGAUGUCUUCUCUUCUCAUGAGGUGGCCAAAGUAUUGGAGCCUCAGCUUCAGGAUCUGUCCUUCCAGUGAGCACUCAGGGCUGAUUUCCUUAAGAAUGGAUAGGUUUGAUCUUCUUGUAGUCCAUGGGACUCUCAAGAGUCUCCUCCAGCACCAUAAUUCAAAAGCAUCAAUUCUUCGGUGAUCAGCCUUCUUUAUGGUCCAGCUCUCACUUCCAUACAUCACUACUGGGAAACCAUAGCUUUAACUAUACGGACCUUUGUUGGCACUGCCUUGCCGUGGCGAAGGGGCUUGAAUAACUCAGAGAUGCUAUGAACUAUGCCGAGCAGGGCACCCAAGAUGGACAGGUCAUAGUGGAGAGUUUUGACCAAACGUGAUCCACCUCGAUGAGGAACCGGCAAGCCACUCCAGUAUCCCUGCCAAGAAAACUCCAUGGACAAAGACAACAGACAUAUCUCAGACUAAUGUGAGAAUAAAACAGACAUAUCUCAGACCUAUAUGUGAGAAUAAAACAAGUUCCUUGGAGAGUCGAUGGGAUACACACCAGGCACAUAGAUGUUAUGAAAUCCAUCAGACUUUGCUUUCAGAGCUACAAAUGCGAGCCCAUUAGUGUAAAUGAGAAAGUCGGCGUGCGCAUUGUUUCGAGCAAUUUGUUCAAUCUUUGGUGUAAACAAAUUUGCAGUGCUAAUUGUUUUAAGUAAGCGAAUUGCAUGUGCUCCUCGUCAAAUUCUGCUUUUGUCUUUUCGCAAGAGAGAAUUGUGUAAAUAAAGUGUACUUUGUUUGAUUAAACAAAUCUAUGGGAUUUGAUUUAAAUGUGGUGAAUGAUUAAGUAUGCUAACUCUAUGGGAUUUGAUUUAAAUGUGGUGAAUGUUUAAGUAUGCUAAAUGGAUGACAAAACUAUGAAUCUUCCAUCAAACCCAGGAAGAUCAGUAUGGGCACAAACGAAAACCACAAGCAAACCGGAGUUGUCUGAACUGCCUUUUUUUUGCUAAGCUGAACAGCUUUGUGUAUGGUUUUUGCAAUGCCUCUUUGUCAGUUACCCCAUUUGUGACGAAUAUUCUUUCACUCCUCCCUUCCUUGGAGAACCCUUUCACAUGGGUCAGUUUUCUUGUGAGGAAUAAGCUUUGGACUGGAUUCCUUUAACAGGUGUAUAGCUUAAGUAUCAGAGAAAGAGAUAGAUAAUUUAGACAGACAUUUUGUUUUUAAACCAGCACCUGUUUCCAAGAAGCAUUCUCAUGGAGUCUCAAUGUAUUUUUAUUAACAGAUACAUGUAAAAACAGACUUGCUGGCUCAAAUCAAAUGCUCUCCUCUAUCUCAGUACUUCCGAAAAUAAAUUCCCUCGUGGACCACUUGAAAAUUGCUGAGGGUUUUGGUAGGAAACUUAAUAUUUUUCUCUGCCCAUUUUAGCUAUUGUAAUAUGCUAGGCUAGAUAUUGUAUUACUUUGAAUUGUAUUUUUGUGUUUUUUAUUAUUAUAUCAGAAAUUUAUUGUACUGCAAUGUAAGAAAUAAAAGAAACAAAAAACAUUCAAUUUAAAACCAAUAUGAAUAUUUAAAGCAGACAAGUCGAGGACCACCUGAAUGAAACUCAUGGACCACUGGUGGUCCACAGAGCACAAUUUUGGAACUCCUGCUCUACUUUCUUCUCCAGCUAGUAGCCACCAGCCAUCAAAAGCUAUUAAUGCUUCUUUCCUCAGGUAUCUUCUCACCAUCAGUGCCCACAGAAGAAACUAAAAGAGAAAACCUGAAACGAAACAGGCCUGACUUGGAGAUCAUUGCAACAAUAUUUAACGCUUCCCAGGUAGGCUUCCAUUUUGUCGUUCAGAUUUAAUUUUCACUAUACUGCCGCAAAGGAGUUUAAUUAAAACCACUAAUUAAUCAUUCAGUUGUCCUGAUGCACAACUGGCAGUUAGCUUGAUUUGCCAUGGCACCUAUUUGAUUGAUGGGCAACAUGGCGAGAAGUAACUCAGAUACAUAAAAUGACUUUGCAUGUGGCAAAACUUUUUUGGGCGGGGCAUGGAGGUCAAAUGUGCAUUGUUUUAUGAUGUUCUAAGUCACUGUGUUAGCAAGCCUUGAAAAUCGUGUUUGCAUUUUUUUAUUAUUUUUUUAAAAAGCCCUAGUCAGAAAUAAUUUUCUUCCAAAUGGAAUCUUGGUUAAAAUUGACUUAAGUCCCAUUUGAAAUUAAGCUCUUCAGGAUUCUUCAGUAGCUCAGUCCUGGAAAGGUAAUCUAUGGAUGUGUGUGUGUUUAUGCAAGUGUUGUUCUUGGAUUCCAUUGAAUAUGAUCACGUAUGAGGGCGAGAGGCACAACUCCACUGGUUCAUAAAUUUUAAACUUGAAGAGACAGUUCAAACUACCUUGCCCGCCCUCCUGUAGACAGGUCAUUUAAUUUCCUCUAGUUAUUUCUCUUAUCGAGCCCACCGACGUAUCCGUGGCUAACAUGUGUCUUAUUUGGAAUAAUUUAUUUUCACAAUGGAAGGUUCCUGUUGUUUGCAAAAUGCAUUAUUCAUCUUGCAUUUCGGCAGUGACAAAGCCGUGCCAUGAUAGCCGUUUGUGAGAUAAAAGUAAAUACAUGUGCUUGGAAUUUUUUAAGGGAAGUCUUUUCCACCUCCCUUCCUUUUCGGAAUUAUCGUGAAGUUUAACAGGACUGCUGUUUCAAAGGCAUGGCACAGAAGUUCAAGUGGGUCUC
Molecule: non-coding RNA, 12341 nt
Organism: Podarcis lilfordi (Lilford's wall lizard)
Lineage: Eukaryota; Metazoa; Chordata; Lepidosauria; Squamata; Lacertidae
Source: the annotation of a GenBank genome assembly